RNAcentral lists this microRNA precursor (84 nucleotides) under Bigelowiella natans CCMP2755. Its description in RNAcentral is "miRNA EPrBNAG00000013441". The record is from RNAcentral. Lineage: Eukaryota; Cercozoa; Chlorarachniophyceae.
UGAUGAUGGUGGUGGUGGUGGUGGUGAUGAUGAUGAUAUUUCACACAAUAAUGAUCAUAAUCAUCAUCAUCAUCAUCAGAUGGA